RNAcentral lists this transfer RNA (73 nucleotides) under Pterocladiophila hemisphaerica. Its description in RNAcentral is "tRNA-Gly". It matches the Rfam family "tRNA". From Rfam's summary of the family: Transfer RNA (tRNA) molecules are approximately 80 nucleotides in length. Lineage: Eukaryota; Rhodophyta; Florideophyceae; Gracilariales; Pterocladiophilaceae. The record is from RNAcentral.
AGCAAGUAUAAUUUAAUGGUAAAAUCUUAGUUUUCCAAACUAAUUACACGAGUUCAAUUCUCGUUACUUGCUU